UGACAAACAAGGGUCCCUUAGGGGGGUGCUGCGGCGGCAUCAAGGGUCUCUACGGCGCUGCCAAGACGACGCCGGACAGGCAGAGCGUCUGCAACUGCCUCAAAACCCUCGCCAGUUCGUAUAAGGGCGUCAACCUCGGCAAGGCCGCCGGCCUCCCCGGACAAUGCGGCGUCAGCAUUCCCUACAAGAUCAGCCCUUCCACCGACUGCUCCAAGUAAGCAAAAUUAAAUAUUACUCUCUGUCCCAGCGAAUCUUGAGUCACUUUCCUUAUAUGACAAAAAAAUUCUCUUUAUUCACCAUUUCACUUUUUCACCUACCACACUUAAUACACUAAAUACGAUUUUCCUAAUUCCUGUGUCGAAAAGAAUUGCCUCAAGAUUCGCGGGACGGAGGGAGUAACAGAUAUUGGUAAUUUAAUUAAUUAAUGAUCAUGUUUAAUGUUGUGUUUUGCAGGGUGAAGUGAGGUUUGAUCAUGUGAUGCAGAUUAAUGAGCCGUAUUCCG
This 502-nucleotide long non-coding RNA is filed under the name Salvia miltiorrhiza (redroot sage). RNAcentral's name for it is "long non-coding RNA (SMIL_LNC006904)". Lineage: Eukaryota; Viridiplantae; Streptophyta; Magnoliopsida; Lamiales; Lamiaceae. The record is from RNAcentral.